GGAAUGCUUCCAGCACCUUGUUGAAUCUAUGCCAUGAAGAAUUGAGGCAGUUCUGAAGGCAAAAGGGGGUCCAACCCGUUACUAGCAUGGUGUACCUAAUAAAGUGGCCGGUGAGUGUAUGUGCGCAUGUAAAUCAUCAGCAAUUGUCAAAGCGUAUUUUUUCUGUUUGAUGAACUGUGGGUGAUUCUUUGGGACAGCAGCGGCGUGUCACACAAAUAUACAGGACCUGUGCUCUGACUCAAGCAACUUUUUAAAGGUACUAGGAAAGCCGCAAUAUUUGUUGUGAAACAACAUAUAAAUAUGCAUUAAUGGACUAAUUGAUUGCAAUAAAGCUGUAGAAAAUCUGAUAUUUGGUUUUGUUGAAAUUUCGAAAGAAGGAGUGCAUUUAUGCUAAAUCUUUGGUUUGAGUUUUUGCCAAAAUUGUCUUGGAUGAACAGGUCAAAAGGUCAAAAUACCAAAGAUCAACUAUAAAUGUGUUACUCAGUUACUUUAAGAUAUCAAAACAUGAAUUUUAAACACCUUUUGGUUUGGACUUAUCUGUUAAUGGUGAGCUAAAUCUCUUGGUUAUGUCAUGGGUAGGGUACAUUCCGUCCUCUUCAAGGUCCAGGCCAAUUUUCAUCCCUUCCACUUUUUUUUCAGCGCUAUCUAUUUUCCUCUUUUCACUGUCCAUUCCUCUCACCGUACUCCUCUCUGACAGGACUAAAUGCACUCCUUAUAAAAAAAAAAGUCCCCUAACCCUUAAAUGCUUAGUGUCCUUUUAAACUCUUCCUCUCCAGACUCGGUGCUAGAGGGUGGGGAAUAAAUUUAAAAACAUAAACAAAGCUUUAUCAUGCUGUGACUCACACAGAGACACACACACACAAACACGUAUACCCGCCUCAUUGUCAGCUACUUUUUGAUGUCUAUCCAUAAAGACCGCAGUCACACAGCAGAAUGACAGGAAGCAGACUGUGGAGGGUUUGCAGGCAGGUGAGACAGUUGUAAGAAGUGAUGUACUGUAGAGAGUGUGUGUGUGCGUGUAAAGGACAGGGAGAGGAAGAAGCGAGAGAAUAACAUGGGUGUGAGAUAAGUGAGCGUGUGUGUGUGAGAGAGAGAGUCAGAGAGAUCAGAACAUGUUGAGAAGAGCUUUCGGCUUUUCUCUCCGAGGAUAAAGCGUGUUCCGGCCUUGUGCUGCUGAAUCCUGCUGCAGCGCUGUCCGUGGUGCUGAAUCGGCUGCAGGGUCUUCCGUCUCUCUUUAUCUCCCUCCCUCCUUCCCUUCCCGCUCUCCUCCCUUACACUUUCUCUUCUUCUCCCUGUCUUUAUCUCCUGUGCCCGCUCAAAGUCUCCUCUAUCUUUCCCUCUCAACUUCACAGGCACUUUAUUGUUAAGAAACACAGCUUGUUGCCACAGCAGUGUCAACACACACCCCAUUGAAGUGACAGGAUCCAAACGUCAACACAAAGACGCAAAAUAUGCCAACUGAGUAUGGGAAAUGAAAUAGGAAAAUAAGCCAUAGGAACACACAAAAAAAAUCAAUGAAAAAAAUUUUGUUUGUUGUAUAUGACGACUUUUUUUUAAUGUUUAAUAUAAAAAAUUCAAGCAGACUGUCCAAUUGUGAAAAAGGAAUACAUGAUUAAUCAAACCUGCAGAAUAUAAACUAUUAGCACACAAAACCUUGUCUAAAAUCUAGUGUCAACCCUAAAAGUAAAGUCUGGAAGAGUCUACACAACACAAAGUGGUAGGUGGCCAGUGUUUAUCUCAUUAAAAAUAAAUAAAUAAAUAAGAAAAAUUGAAAUAAUAACAAAGGUGCUUAUCGUUUGAAAUAAACUAACUGAUUGACCCUUUUUAGUGUUAAAGGCACUGUCAGCAACGUUCAUCCUGGGUUGAAAUAUUUGUUUUUUUAAAGGAUAAAUACCGCAUUUCCCAUAAGCCCUCUCACCUGCUGUCUUACAAUUGGGAUCGUGCCAAAGUGUGCAUUUGCUAUGUAAGCAAAUGAACAGAGUUACAUCCUUAAUUCUAGUUUUCUUUGAGUGUUGUUACUAUUAAUUAGCUUACUAAAGGUGACCACUUGUCACUUUUACCUGCCACAGUAAUGGUGUUGUUCACAAAAAGUCUGAACAGGAAAAAUGCGCACAUGGUUUGACCCUUGUACUGAAAGAGAAGUAGAGCAUUCACACGCCUGGAUUAACAAUAAAUCCUGUUCUUAGUCAUUCUGCUCUUUUAACCGGCAAAUCCCUGGUUGGAUAGUUGCUCUAGUCCACCAGGAAGUGUAUGUCUUUAUGCUAAUCCUUGUUCAGUGUCUGCCAUAAGUAUAAUUUAAAAAAAAAUAAAAUGACAAAAGAAAAGUAUUCACUUUUCAUAAAAAAAAAAAAAGAUAACACUGAUAUUGACCGUAGGGGGACAGAUACGGAUUAUGUUAAAAAGCCAUAAACGGCCAGAUUCUCCUGACUUAUUUCUCUGACUUCAUCGGCAAAGUUUUAAACAGAACCGUUACCAAGUAAGCCAAUAACAUCUGUUUAACCUCUUUAAACCUACCAAAACACAGGCACCAUAAUCACACAAGGAAAUAACCAAUUUUGUCAGGACUAGUUUUAAUUUUUGAUGUAGGACCUGAAGAAACAUUAGUGUAUGAGUGACACUUCUCUACAUUACUUAACCCUCCUCCUGUGUUCGGGUCUGUACUGACUCGGUUUUGAUUUUAAAUGCUUAAAAGAACCACUUAAAUUAGCUUUUUUGCAUCAAGACUUUUUGACUUUGUCAAGAACCUCUAUUUCAACUAAAUAAAUAUAAAAAAAAAUAAUUGACUAAAUUAUAAAAUGCUCUUAUUAAAAUUCUGUUGACCCAGUUAGAUCAAUGUCUAAUAAUCAAGGCAAAAACUGAAAUCAUAAGUGCACUGUCAGGCACCACACUGACAGUCAGAUCCUCUUCCAAUCAUGUGAGAUUUAGGAAAUUCUCAUUCUGCCAUGUCUGCCACAUCUGUGUGAGGGGUAUACUGACAAAGAAAGGCCCAGAGGCUGACUACAAAAAUAUUAAAAUCAAUAUUUUCAUGGAUAAUGAAGCCCAACAAGGUAACCUAGAGAUGAGAAUCAAAAUGGAUGAUAGAGAAUUGUUUUUAGCGGGAUUUACAGCUGAUUUAAGACACGGGUCAAAACCAACCCUUUACAUAGUGGAUGUGUAGUAAAAGCUAACACAAGAGGAAGGUUAAACACUCCUUUUAGUGCUUUUAACUAAAAAGUCAGGGAAGUCAAUUUUCAAAGCAUCAAAAACAGAUAAUCUAUUAUUAGAAAUAAGAAUGUUUGUGACAAAUAAUAAUAAGUUGUUUAAGAGUCCCCUAUAACAGUGACUAAAUGUCCGUGGAUUGAUCCUACUGCCGAAUGUGCUAUGAAAACCUCUCUUUCUGCAGCUCUUUUUAACAUCACAAUGUAACUGAAUGGAUCUAGUGGAGAAAUGGGGCUUGAUAAAGUGGAGGUAAACUCAUGGGACAUCUUUUUUCUGCAUGGUGCCCCCUAAGCUCUCCUGUGGUGCAGUGUCACGGUCUGUCCGCCAGAUCUCCGUUCGCUACAGUUGAAUUUCUCUUCAGGGUUUAUUAGUCAUACUCGUUAUCAGCCUGCUUUCUAGGGUGAAUAUGUAACCCUUUUUGCCCACAUUGGGUUUUUCUUUUUAUAUUUGUUAUUGCAUAAUUCAUAACAGUCAUCUUUGACCAUCACUAGAGGACCAAAUCAAUCCUCGAAUGCAUGGUCUUGAGGGAAUUUCAGGGCAGCGCUUUGCUUCCCACCACAUCUGUUUUACCUGUCUUUGUUCUUUCUGGCACAAUACAAUAUCAUUCCUAAUUUGCAUGAGAAAAAAAAACAGAAAUAAAACAGUGUGUUCGUCAAGGGCCUGCACCAAUAUUUACACAGCCCCGAUGACUUAACUCUGGGGUUCCUUGAGGUCAAUGAUGAUUUUUCAUCCCGGGAUCCCAGAAUGAGUACAUUUUGUUCCACCCUGAGGACACAUGGUCUAAUUAAAACAUUGCCACAGUGGAUAGAACCCAUCAGAAACAAGACUCUGACCCAUUUUCUCGUUCUGAUCAGUAGUUAAAGACAAAGUUGCUUCAGGCUUUUCAAAAUCUCAUCAAAUUAGACCUUCAAAUGCCACUAGAAGUGACUGUUAUUCAUGUUUCCAAAAAUAUACAUCAUGGACCUCCACAUGUCAGGUUUUUUUUCACUCCCUGCCUUUGUUUUACUCACACACAGACACAGGAAUAUGUUUUAUGUCUUGUGAGAGUGACCUUUACCCUAUAGUAAGGUCCAGGGGUUUCUCUAGCUUGAUUGAGGUUAGAGAUCAUGAAGCAUGACGUUAGGAGUUUUCAUUUUCUGUGCCCCUGUCUGAUCUCCGUCUAUUCACUUAAUCUGUUUGUCUGGCUCUUCUCUGAUUGUCUGUGUUAUAGUUUUUAUCUCUUCAUUAUCUCCUGCCCGCCGUGCCCCACCACCAACGCCAACAACCAUGACCCGGAAUUAUAUUCUUCUGAACCAGCCGUGAACCAUCGCAUUUAUACCAUCUCUUGCUAAUCAGAUAAUUACGGAACUCUCACUCUUUAUAAACCAUGAAAUCCUGCAGGAUCUGUACAGUGAGAAGACUAAUCUGUCUCCUGACUUUAUUGUUCUGCCAAGUGCGAAUGUCUGCAUCCACCAGAGAGUAAACACAUUAGACAUUUUAUGAAAGAGACGCGGCUCUGCAUCUAUAGCACACCAGUGACUCAAGUAUUGAUCAGACCAAUAACACGGCAUCAAAAUGACUAAAACUGCAUCAAAACAGGGGCACGGCCAAAGUGGUACCCAGGGAUGGCACGGCCCCUGCUUGGGAACCGAACAAGGAUCAGCUAUUAGCUCAUCAUAUAUGUUAAAACCAACCAUUUAAACAGGCUACUACAAGAUGUCCAUGUAGAUUCUCAUUCAUCCAGGUCAUGGUUUUCUUGAAGACUCCAAAAACAGGCAACUGGAUUGUGUAGAGUUGACAGUAUCCAAACGUCAGACAUCUCACAUCUUCUCAACUCUACACAGUCCAGUUGCCUGUUUUUGGAGUCUUCAAGAAAAGGCUACUACAAGCUUCUGUUGCAAUUUUGAUUGAGGACCUAAGACUGCCUCUGUCUCUGCAGUGUGUGAGUCUGAUAACAGCCAGAUAUCUGACUCAUCAUCAGUAUUUGAUGAAUAAGUGUAAAAAGUUUUAUUUCUUUAUCAAACUGUUUGACAUCUAGCCCUGAGCAAUUGCUGCAGGCGUUAAAACUUCAAAACAGAAAUUGGCAAUCUUCAUACUAACAUUCCAGUUUUCUUUUCUGGAUAAUAAAGAGGCAUCACUUUUUAUUUAGUUCUUUCAUAACAGGGGCUUCAAUAUUAAAGGGAUAUUCCGGCAUAAAAUUAAAACACAAACACACCGUAACAUCGAGUUAGACACCCCAUCGAGAGAUGAAUGUGGCCAACCGUUUGCUUUUCUUGUUUUACCAACUUCAGUAACAACCGCAGGAUAGCGUUAUACAGUGGUCUGAUGAGCCAUAAACAAACCUCACCCAAAACGCCACUCUAUAGCCACAAAUAAUGCUCAGAACAGCACCUAACUUCAUCAACAGUACAUAUAAGGUCCCAGCCACAGUACUAGCCACCAAACAUCUUUUUAGCUUUGCCUGAUUUCUUUAGGAAAGAGACUAAACACAACUUACCCACUCUCCUCCAGCAGCCGUUUGUUUGUAGCGAGACCUUAGGUGCAGCAGGGUGACGCAGCUCAAGGAAGAACAUUUAUGAUCAUUUCUUUAUGGAAAUGCAAUCAGACCGAGACACUAAGGCAGAAGAACUACUACGUCUGCAGUGCAAAAUGAUUAAUAUGGUGAUUAUUACUUCAAGGAAAUGAUAAAGUCAUGAUCACAAAUGUUCUUCCUUGAGCUGCGUCACCCCGCUGUAGUCCGUAAUAGACUAGCCUGAGGUCUCGCUACAAACAGACAGCUGCUGGAAGAGAGUAGGUGAGUUGUGUUUAGUCUCUUUGCUAAAGAAAUUAGGCAAAGCGAAAAAGAUGUUUGGUGGCUAGUGCUGUGGCUGGGGUCUUAUAUGUACUGUUGAUGAAGUUAGGUGCUGUUCUGAGCAUUAUUUGUGGCUAUAGAGUGAUGUUUUGGUUGAGGUUUGUUGACGGCUCCUCAGACUGCUGUGUAUCGCUAUCCUGCGGUGGUUACUAUGGGGUGUCUAACUCGGUGUAACCGUGUGUUUGACCCUAAAUUAAUUUUACGCCGCAACAUCCCUUUAAUGACUUAUCUAGUUAAAGUAGUUGCUUAUACUACACAUGCAUAAGUAAAGGCCCCAACACCUUUUAGCUAAGAAGAGAAGACAAGAAAAAUGUGUUUAUUUUAUUCGUACAAAAUUCCUAAGUUUUGCAAGUGAUUGUUAUUUCUUUACUCAGGGAAACAUUGGUAUGUUUUAACAAGAGGUCAAACCUAUCCAUAGGUGACAGGGGUUGCCUACUGAAGCCGUGGCUUUUGACUCAACUGACCCACACACACACAGCCGGUGCUGUCUUUUAUGACACUGAGUAAGGGCUGAGAUUGUUAGAGAGCGCCAACGGUGAUCUGAGGGUGAGUGUCACAUCAUCACUCACAGGAGAAAAAUAUUUCUGAACUCCACCACACUCACAAUAACUUAUUUUUUUCCCAUCUGAUAUAUGUCUUUCUCUCCUCCCAUCUCCUCCUUCUCUGCAGCAAACGUCCACAUCUCCUUAUGUGGUGUUCAUUGUCUAUUCAUAGGCGGAGAUUUAUGCUGAUUAGUGGCUAUCGGGAGCAAGCUGUCUUUUUCUGAUGAAUUGGCAUUCAUGAACUUUCAUGAACUUCCACACAUGCCUAUGAUCAAACCAGGGGUUUCUGACACGUUCAUGAAUCUAGAGCAGUUUUUUAGCACCAAUGACAUUCAUGUGUAAAGGUACACAUAAAUUUGCUUACGUUUCAUGAAUAAGACCCAAUAAACCUAAACCACAAAAUCACUGCUGCAGUCUUCAACGUCAACUUCAUUAGCAACCAGAAGUCUAAGGUCAUCUAUCAGUUGACAGCUUAUCAUAAGGAGGGGAAUCAAAGGAAAAAGGAUAGCUCUGCAACCAAAAACAAUGCAUAUUAAAUCAUAUUUAGGUUUUUGUUUUUGAUAUGAUAAACAGUAGUCAGGUUCUGCAAAAAAAUCAGUAGGGAUGGUGGAUUUUUUUGCUUGGGACAGAUAUCGUCACCCUAAAAUAAUUUUUUUGGCCUAUAUUCAUCUCAAGAGAUGAUGGAAUUGAUAUGCUUUAUUUACAGCCGGCUUUCCAAGGUGCAGUGCAAAAAUAUUUACAAAAGUGCAAAAGAAAAAAAAGGUUCAAUACUGUUUACAAAAUAUAAUAAAAUAUAAAACAAAAUAAUUUCAAGGGUAGUUGACUGAGCUAGACUCCAUGUGACCCUGUAUGUGCUGUGCAGUGAUCUACCAAUCACAUUCGUUCUUUACUUAGUUGCCAAUUAGACUACCCUGCUAGCUGUCAAUCAAAACCAGAGAGUAGGAAACCACGCCCCUGCACAUGGAGUGAGUUGCCGGCCCAUGCUGGUGUUGUGCAGAGAAAUGCAAACCCUCCGAGAAUUACUUUCGGAACGUUACUCAUCAGUGUUUAGCCCCACAAAUAAAAAUUUUAUGGGUUUUAAAUUGUACAUUUGAAAUGAAAGAGAGAAAAACGCCGAAAAUGAAGACUUGUUGCCAAAAAGAAAAGCAACAUCAGUUAUCUGGAAUUUUUUCAGUUACAAGAAGGACAAUGUUGACCAAAACACGUGUUCUGUGUUCAUCUGUUGCCACAAUAACGUCCCAGCACAGUAAAAGCAAGUUAAAAUAUCUCUAAUUCAAACAGAAGCCAUUCUACUAACGUUCACAAAAAGAGGUAAGAUCAGAGCAGGUUAACUGUCCACAAGAUUUCAACAGUGCAGCAUAAUAUAAAGUGCUAUUCAGGUCAUCUGAAAAAAUUCAUGUAUUUUUUAAUAUCGCAAUAUAUAUCGCAGGGUUGAAAAAAUUGCAAUGUCAGUUUUUUCGAAUAUCUUGCAGCUUUAUCAGGAACCCACUUAUAAUCCCGAGGCCCCACUAAGGUCCGCUUCCCUCGUUUUGGGAACCCCUGGCUGAGUCGGUGUCUUUAUUCCUCCCAGAUCCAAACUAUCAGCUUCUUCCCACAUGCAGGUGAACGCCCCGGCAUGGCAUCACGCGCAUUCGUCAUAACGCAUCCAUCCGAUAUCAGCAGCGUGUAAUCCCGGAGCCGCGUGCUGUCAAUAGACGGAGCAAGACACGGAUACAGAGGAGUGGAGGCAGACAGGGAGAGGAGCCUGUAGGCGGAUCGCCUCCCGGGACAAACCAUCACACAGUGUGAAAGUAACUGCGGGAGACGCUCGCAGUGGCGGAGCAGGGCGCUCUUAAACGACAGGGAGAAGAAGGACGUGAUUAGAGGCUGCUGUCUAAGAGGGAUUUAUCAUCAUUUUCUCUGUCUGGAGUUCGCCUUUUUCCCUGACCUAUAACGCCUCCAUCCAUAGCGUGCAAUCCACCGGGCAGCACGCGCAUUUGUCCGUGCAGGAGCGAAGAGAGAGGUCAAGGCAAAGUCACUUCUGUGGCUCAAAGAAGGAACGGCAAUUUUCCAACCUUCUCAAAUUGUUUCCUAUCUCCUUUCACUUCAUUUGUGCACUUCUUUCUCGAUUUCUCUCUUGAGUGGAUACUCUUCUACGGCAGAAACGGAUUAUUAUUCCGCGACCGGGUCAAGACUAAAGGCAAAGAGCUCUGAAUGAGUGAGCUGUUAUGUUGGUGCAGGAAUGACAGCUGAAUGGGGGAGCGUGGAGCAUCUGUAGGGGAGCUUUUCGUGGAGACCGGCUGAGUAGCCGAAAACGACGAACGAGAGAGCAGAUACUUCUCAGUCUCCUCCCAUUGAUAUUCCUCUACUCUUAAACUAAUCCCUUCACUAUUGAGAUUCAAUCCUUUUCAUGUUGUCAUAUUUUUUUUAAAGAGGAGUCCAAACGGAACGCAGGGUUCUCAUGUGGAGUCCAAAUGAGUGCGCAACGCGGCGGUGCGCCGGUGUAACGGCGUUUUUUUCCACGCUCACACUUCUGUCCCAGUGGAUCGUCGGUGGACACUGAGCUGCUGUAGAUCCCCGGCUGCCACCGGCCGCGUACCCAUACACCGAUCUCUUAUGCAAACUCAACGGGAACUAAACUAAAUAGCUUGCCCUAACACCUCUCCUGGAGCCCCGUUGCGCUAGGUGUGAGACCCCUCCUGAAGAAAAGUGGAUAUGAUUUCUUAUUCGGUUUGCAAAUCUACCUGAACAGGAGGAUUAUUUGUCACAUUUUUUUUGCACUGUAGAGUUCUACACCUGGCUUGAUAACCGGGGGAGAAACAGCCUCCACCUAGCCGAAGUGGAGGAGGAGAGGGAGCAGCACAGGUAUGACCAUCUUCUUAUCUACUAUGAUCGUCUGUCUGACCAACGCUGAUCUUCGUCAUUUAUCACAGUUUUUUUGGACUCUCCUCGCUUAUUAGCAGAGGGGGUUGAGUUGUAAUUUUGGAAGAGCUGAACUGAGUCCACGCACUCGCAAAUACGCACGCGCACAAACACAUAAGAGGAGAAGGCAGAUGGGGAGAUAAUGGCGCUGGUGUUCUCUCUCCCAUACGAUUUAGAGAUGCUGAUAUCCGUUUUUAUAGAUUAAAGACUAGAGGGAUGGAAGAGGGGGAGUGAUGAGAUGCCGAGGGGCUGUAAAGCAUGGAAAGUGUGAAUAAAUGGGCCUGAAACAGAUAAGGAGAGGAGAUAUAGCACUGGGGUGAGAUAAGAAGAAGGGACGGGAUGAAAGAGCAGGUGGGUAAAAAAGCAGCAUGGGAGAAAAAGGGGGCAAAGGGGAGUCAGGGAGUUUUGAGGGAGGGGAAGAAAAACAAAGAAAUGAGAGGGUUAUUAAUAAUUAAAAUGGGGGGGAUGGAGCAGACAUAAAAUGAGAGCAGGGCUGAGGAAGCGAGGACAUGUGGGGAAGAGAGACAGGAGGGACUGAGGAGGAGUUGUUAGGGGACAAGGGGAGAGGAGAGGGUGCAAGGCUAGAAUACAGAAAAGGAAGGGGAGAGGAGAGAAGAUGCCCUGAAGAUAGGGAAGAUAGAGGGGUUGUUAAGAUAAAGGGAGAGGAAAAGGAGGGGGGGACCUGAUGGCAGGUGAGGGGAAGGACUGCUGUAAAGGUGAGGGGAGGAAAAUAGGAGAGGACAGGAGCAGGUAAUGGAGGGCAGGUGGUGGGGAAACAAGCGAGAAAAUACAGGAGAGCAAUGAGAACAGAGAGAGGGGGCAGGCAAGCUCUAACAAUAGCAUGCUGGAGGCCAAGUGUAAAAUACUUUUACAGUGCUGUGCUGUAGCUACGGUGUGGUAUCAUCCAGUGGAUUGCUGUGUAAUGGUCGCUUGCUGCUGCUGCACCAUGGAGACAGCAGGAGAGAGAGAGAAAGAGAGAGACGGAGAGAAACCACAGCCAACUGUUUAGUUUGCAGCGUCAGCUCAUCAGCUCCUCUUUACCUUGUAAAUUCUCUCUUCCUCUCUAAAAGCCCCAUUUGCAUUUUGAUGGCGGUGGUCAAUAUCUCUAAGUCUCCUUAAAACACAUGUAAACACACAUGCAAGAUUGAAUGAGAUCUUGGGGGAGAUGAAUCGCAGAUUUUCUUGUGUCAGUCUCAGAAUGUGUAUACCUGUGGAUUAGCUGGAGCCAUGUUUUCAAUCGUCAAACUUCAUAGCCUGGAUUUUUUUUUUUUAGCUUUUCAUUUUGCUUGUUUAGCAGUAUCAUGUUUGAAUGUGGCUUGAAACAGUUUCCUGGCAGAAAUGUUCAAUUUUUCCACAUUGAAGAUGAAGUUUCAGAUGAAUAUAAUCGUAUUUUGCAGUUUAAUCAGCACCUCAACAUAAUGAAAUGCAAUGAGAGGCUGGAAGUGAAUAAAAUCUGGAGGGACUAUAUUCUGUCAGCACGUAUCUUUGAUCAUGACUCCAUUUGCUCUCCGACAUUUAAAACUUAUAAAACCUACAAAUUUAAAUCCUGAUUUUACUGAGCUUUGAAAAAUGUGCUAAAAGAAGAUAUCAGCCAGACUGUUUCUGCCUACUAUAAAAACACGUUUUAAUCAUAUCUGUGCAGUAAGAAGUUGAUGUACUCCUGAAGUAUGCUGUAAUGAGUCUGGCCUUAAUUCUGGUAACUUACAUCUAUGCCAGCAUGCACACAGUAUUCAAGCUCAUGUUCUAGACAAGCUUAUAUUUCUGAUGCAUCUUCCUAUCCCACACAUGAAUAUCACUACACAUGAGUAAACAGAAUCUGCUUGCACUGUCAUGGAAACUGAGUUCUCUGAGGCGCUUAAGAGAUAGAACUAAAAUUGGAUUGGAAGUACCUCAGGGAAAUGCUUGAGGGUCAAGCUUUUUUAUUCUUGUUUUUCAGUGCCAUAAAACACAGCUGAGUUCUUUUUUUAAUGAAUCGGAAUGACUUUUGCAUGAAGGAACUCCAAAAACAGAGUACUUGACUCCUCUGCAGUUAAUUGGGUGUUUCUGCGCAUGCAAACACACUGUUGUUGUCAUACGCAGAUGUUUUCAAAAGCAGCGCCUCUUUAUAAUGAUUGUAAAUAACUCAGUUUGUGCCUACUAAGUCACAAAACGCAUGAAGUACUAAAGAAUAUCUUAUUUAUUCAUCUUGUGGUUUGUGAUUGGGAAAUUUCCGCCACUUUUUUGUUUAAUGGCAAAACAUCCAUUUGCAUGCAAGCUUUGUUAAGCUGCACAAAAAAUCUGAAUCCCCUUCCUUUAUAGUCCUCGUAUAGAACCCACCUCCAUCUAAAUGAAAGACUGUGGAAGUCCCAGUAUAUCUGAGAUGGUAGGAGGUCAUUUUGAAUGGCAGUGGAUCCAGUUCGUCUAGUAGCUGACAUGAGCUGACUGAUGGGUUUGACAAUGCCUAAUUAGCUUCGCACUAGAGUAUUACUACAACUUGAUGGGCAUAGUGAAAUGAUGGUAGGGUAUUUAAGGAUAGGUGACAUAACUUAUAAAUUUAAAGCUCCCGUGAGUAACUUUUGAUUUGUGUUGAUUUUGGCGCCCCCUGUGGACAAAGCUGUCUUUGCUGAUUUAUGACAACAAAUCUCAUUUUGCUGACUUCUGUCAGUCAAAUAUAUCAUUCAUAGUAGUGUUUGGCGGUAUGAACAAAAUCUUAUAUCAUGGUAUGAGUAAUUUCAUAUCACGGUAAAGGUUUAUAUCAUGGUAUGUUUUUCAUUGUCGGAUUUUCUAAAUCCGAAGAUUCUCCAGACGACCGAUGUCGUGACUCGCACCCUUUUUCUGAACAGGUUCCUCCUCCUCUUCCUCAUGUUGGGUGGGUCAGGCUGCCUCUGUUUGCCCGAUACUGCCACUAGUCUCUGCGUCUGCCAUGACCACCACUAGUGAAGCUGUUUCUUCGUCAUCAAAACUAUGCCAAGCAGUCUGCUGGACAUGCUGGUGAUGAAAUGGAGCGCACCUUAACCUGAUCAACAAACAGAACAAACUCUGCACAACACACUGGUCAAUAUACUGAAACACACCCAAAUGGAUGCGCUCUGGCUUUCCAGUGUAGACAACUACACACUGACUC
Molecule: non-coding RNA, 12574 nt
Organism: Xyrichtys novacula (pearly razorfish)
Lineage: Eukaryota; Metazoa; Chordata; Actinopteri; Labriformes; Labridae
Source: the annotation of a GenBank genome assembly